ACGCUCGACACCUACGGGAGCAGCAGUGGGGAAUAUUGCACAAUGGGGGAAACCCUGAUGCAGCGACGCCGCGUGAAGGAAGAAGUAUUUCGGUAUGUAAACUUCUAUCAGCAGGGAAGAAACUGACGGUACCUGACUAAGAAGCACCGGCUAAAUACGUGUCAGCAGCCGCGGUAAUCUGAGCGGGCUGGCAAGGC
This 197-nucleotide ribosomal RNA is filed under the name uncultured bacterium. RNAcentral's name for it is "partial 16S ribosomal RNA". It matches the Rfam family "Bacterial small subunit ribosomal RNA", at positions 328 to 539 of the family's 1533-position model. The record is from RNAcentral.